RNAcentral lists this transfer RNA (71 nucleotides) under Fischoederius elongatus. RNAcentral's name for it is "tRNA-Ala". The record is from RNAcentral. Lineage: Eukaryota; Metazoa; Platyhelminthes; Trematoda; Plagiorchiida; Gastrothylacidae.
AACGAUAUAUUUUAAGAUAAAGAUUGCAUGCUCUGCAAGUAUGAGGUGAGUGUGAAGGCUCUAUCGUUGUG